RNAcentral lists this transfer RNA (92 nucleotides) under Dehalococcoidia bacterium. RNAcentral describes it as "tRNA-Ser". It matches the Rfam family "tRNA". From Rfam's summary of the family: Transfer RNA (tRNA) molecules are approximately 80 nucleotides in length. Their secondary structure includes four short double-helical elements and three loops (D, anti-codon, and T loops). The record is from RNAcentral. Lineage: Bacteria; Bacillati; Chloroflexota; Dehalococcoidia.
GGAGAGGUGCUGGAGUGGCCGAUCAGGCACGCCUGGAAAGCGUGUGUUCCGAGCAAUCGGGACCGUGGGUUCGAAUCCCACCCUCUCCGCCA